RNAcentral lists this ribosomal RNA (754 nucleotides) under uncultured bacterium. RNAcentral's name for it is "partial 16S ribosomal RNA". It matches the Rfam family "Bacterial small subunit ribosomal RNA", at positions 28 to 774 of the family's 1533-position model. The record is from RNAcentral.
AUGGUUCGCUGGCGGCUUUCUAACACCUGCGUCUCUGGCGGUCCCAAGUGUAGCAUUACAUGCUGACAAUCGGCGAAAUGUCGAGUAAUGCUUCGGAAUCUACCUUAAGGUGGGGAAUAACUCCUGCAAAGGUUAGCUAAUACUCCAGACGUCCUACCGGAGAGACCGGAUCUUACCCCUUUGGUCAAAAAGACCACCUAAAGUCGGAUUACCUAGUUGGUAUGCUAAUAGCCUACCAAGGCUACGAUUCGCAGCUGGUGUGAGAGGACGACCAGCCACACUGGGACUGAGACACGGCCCAGACUCCUACGGGAGGCAGCAGUGGGGAAUAUUGGACAAUGGGGGAAACUUUGAUCCACCGACGCUCUGUUUUGUAAAAAGGCCUGGGGUGAAGCAAGUCCUUUUCAUGGGUGAAAAAAAUGUCGCGGGCUCCCCCCUCCUUUUUUUUUGGGGAGUGAAAAAAAAAGGGUAGCCCGUACUGUCUGUGCCACCAGCCGCGGUAAUACAGACGGCGUUAGCGAUCAUCUGAAUUACUGGGCGUAAAGCGUGCGUAGACCGCUACAUAAGUCGGGUGUGAAAGCCCCCGUCUCCUCCUGCGAAUUGCAUUCUAGACUGCUGAGCUAGCGUGCGGAAGAGGGAAGCGGAAUUUCCAGUGCAGCGCUGAAAUGCGUAGAUCUCGGAACGAACACCACUGGCGAGAGCGGCUUCCUGCUUCCUUGCCUACGCUCAGGCUCGAAAGCGUGUGGAGCAAGCA